CUUUAAAUCUUCUUUUCGUGCUCGCUGCGAGUGUCGUGUCUCGUUGUUAUCUUAACGGCUGCCACGGCUGCUAACGAGAAUACAGACUGUUCGUUAUCUCGGCGGUGAGAGCACGCGCAAGCACGACACUUGUGUUUUAUACGACCGAGCCAGAGACAGUGCGAAUCGAACGCAGGGAGGCAUCUGAAACGAGCGAAUUGUGAGGUUAGAAAAUUGGUAAUUAUUCGACUCGUGGAACGAAAUGAAGUUCGAUCGAGAGGAGAAGAGCCUUCUUGCUUAAUGUGCUUCUUUCUUAAAGAAAAAAAGAAUGUCCAAUAUGUUUUCGAAAAGAUAUUUAAAAUAAAAAUAAAACGUUGCUACGUAGAAUUUCUGUUAUAUAUCCGCGGUUGCAUGCGUACAAGUAUGCGACCGCCACUUAUCCUCUGUUAAUGUACAUAUGGCCAUAUAGCGGGCAACUAAGGCAUAUAACGGGGACAAUAAAUGAGUGAUGGUCACAGCCACGGACGUGUAUAUGUAAGAGAAAUUUUGGUAAUAUUUUUUUUUGCAAAUAUUUCAAAAAGUAACAUAUAUAUAAAAAAACUAAAUGGUAAUUGUUUCCAAUCAAGAAGAGCGAUUAUCAUUCACGAGAAUAGUUAAUUGUUA
Molecule: long non-coding RNA, 642 nt
Filed under: Apis mellifera (honey bee)
Lineage: Eukaryota; Metazoa; Arthropoda; Insecta; Hymenoptera; Apidae
Description: uncharacterized LOC100577474, transcript variant X2
Source: RNAcentral